This 174-nucleotide long non-coding RNA is filed under the name Mustela putorius furo (domestic ferret). Its description in RNAcentral is "lncRNA (ENSMPUG00000025698.1)". The record is from RNAcentral. Lineage: Eukaryota; Metazoa; Chordata; Mammalia; Carnivora; Mustelidae.
AAAGUCCUGAAAUUGGAAUAAUAGAUUGAUUUGCCUCCAUAUUCUUCCUCAGGAGAUACUUUUUGCAAACCAUGAUGGGAGACCCUGUGGACAGCCACAGAAGGACAGUGUGUUCAUCCAGCAUGGAGGUAAGGGGAGCAGUAUUACCAUAGCCAUUUUGUUCAUGGCACUCAU